This 384-nucleotide long non-coding RNA is filed under the name Physcomitrium patens. RNAcentral describes it as "long non-coding RNA (PPAT_LNC003891)". The record is from RNAcentral. Lineage: Eukaryota; Viridiplantae; Streptophyta; Bryopsida; Funariales; Funariaceae.
AAGUCAAUGUGAAGAUGAUAGUAAAAAUAAAGUGAGAAAGGUGAAAGCGAAGGUACCUUGACAACACAACACGUAAGGAUUGAAGGCAGCAACCCCUUUCCACUCCAAAAUUUGCCAAAAUUUAUAAUCGGCUUCAAUUUGAAUGAUUCUUAGCUUGUUGCAAGGCUGACUUGAAGACGCUUUUGAUCCAAUAAUCUUCGUUGCAAUCUAAUGAUUCAGUCGUGAGAAUUCCUCCUUUAAAGUUGAGUGAUGCAAACUACUGCGGUGACCAACCCACUUCACUUAGAAAUUCACUUAACAUUCAGAUUAUCUUCAAAUUCAACAAAACUUAUGCCUUUCAGAGCUUAACUUAUAAAGCUUGAUGCUUCUAAAAUUUCAAAAAAA